GUGCCAGCAGCCGCGGUAAUACGAGGGGGGCAAAUGUUGUUCGGAAUCACUGGGCGUAAAGGGAGCGUAGGCGGGUUCUUAAGUUAGGUGUUUAAUCCCGGGGCCCAACCCCGGACCGGCACUUAAAACUGGGAAUCUUGAAUAGUGGAGAGGUCGGUGGAAUUGGGGGUGUAGCGGUGGAAUGCGUAGAGAUCCCCAAGAACACCAGUUGCGAAGGCGGCCGACUGGACACAUAUUGACGCUGAGGCUCGAAAGCAUGGGGAGCAAACAGGAUUAGAUACCCUGGUAGUCC
RNAcentral lists this ribosomal RNA (292 nucleotides) under uncultured microorganism. Its description in RNAcentral is "partial 16S ribosomal RNA". It matches the Rfam family "Bacterial small subunit ribosomal RNA", at positions 505 to 796 of the family's 1533-position model. The record is from RNAcentral.